UUAUUAUUUGGUUUUAAUAUAUAAAAUGUUUACUAUUUAGGUAAUAAUAUAAAAGUUUUAUUUUGAUUUGAAUUAUUGGUAUAUUUAUUAUUUAUAUGUAAAUUUAUGUGGGAAUAAUAUAAAAUUUUAAAAAUUAUAAAAUUAUACGCAGUAUAUAAAUUUAAAAAUUUACGAAAGUAAGAUUUAGGGAUAAAUAAUAGUUUUGACAAAUCUUGUGCCAGCAGUAGCGGUUAUACAGGGAAGGCAAUCAAUAACUUUUGGUUUGUAGUUAAAUAUUUUUAUUAUUUAUUUGUAUAAAUAUAUUUAUUAAGUGAAAUUUUUAUUUUAUAUUUUAUAAUAAACAAUUAAAUUGAUUCUAUGAAAUUUCAAUAAUAAACUAGGAUUAGAUACCCUAUUAUUUGAAAUGUUAAAUAAUAAAAACUUAGUUAGUAUUAGUUAUGUUCUUUAAAGCUAAAAAAUUUGGCGGUAUUUUAGUCUUUUCAGAGGAACCUGUCCUAUAAUCGAUGGUCCACGAGGGAUUGUACUUGUUUUAAUUAGUUUGUAUAUCGUCGUAGUUGAAUGUUCUAGAAGAAUUUAAAUGUUCAUUAUUAAUAAUUAUUAAUUAAAUCAGAUCAAGGUGCAGCAAAUAAAUAAGGAUGAGAUGGGUUACAAUAAAUAAUAUUUAUUUACGGAAUUAUAAUUGAAAUUUAUAAUGAAGGUGGAUUUGAAAGUAAUGAUAAUUAGUUUACUAUUAUGAUUUUAGCUCUAAAAUAUGCACAUAUUGCCCGUCGCUUUCGAAUAAAUUGAAAUAAGUCGUAACAAAGUAGAGGUACUGGAAAGUGUUUCUGGAACACA
RNAcentral lists this non-coding RNA (834 nucleotides) under Sphaeridium lunatum. The record is from RNAcentral. Lineage: Eukaryota; Metazoa; Arthropoda; Insecta; Coleoptera; Hydrophilidae.